This 332-nucleotide ribosomal RNA is filed under the name uncultured Micrococcineae bacterium. RNAcentral describes it as "bacterial SSU rRNA". It matches the Rfam family "Bacterial small subunit ribosomal RNA", at positions 20 to 349 of the family's 1533-position model. Lineage: Bacteria; Bacillati; Actinomycetota; Actinomycetes; Micrococcales. The record is from RNAcentral.
UGGCUCAGAACGAACGCUGGCGGCGUGCUUAACACAUGCAAGUCGAACGGUGACCUCGGAGCUUGCUCCGGGCGAUCAGUGGCGAACGGGUGAGUAACACGUGAGUAACCUGCCCCAGACUCUGGGAUAACCCCGGGAAACCGGAGCUAAUACCGGAUACGACGCGAAGAGGCAUCUCUAUCGCGUGGAAAGUUUUUCGGUCUGGGAUGGACUCGCGGCCUAUCAGCUUGUUGGUGAGGUAACGGCUCACCAAGGCGAGGACGAGUAGCCUGCCUGAGAGGGCGACUCGGCCACACUGGGAUUGACUCACGGCCCAGAGACCUACGGGAGGC